This 27-nucleotide transfer RNA is filed under the name Melanocharis arfakiana. RNAcentral describes it as "partial tRNA-Ser". Lineage: Eukaryota; Metazoa; Chordata; Aves; Passeriformes; Melanocharitidae. The record is from RNAcentral.
AUGAGGGUUCGACUCCUUCCUUUCUUG